AAAAAGAGGCAAGCAGCUACCGUGAUAUUCUCUUCUAGCAUCUAUAAAAAGGUAGUUUUUCUUCAACAUUAUGCAUAGCAAGAAAGACUCCUCCCAAAUAUAGUUUCUUUGCUGCUUCUCUUGAUAUGGCAGGUCUCGUGCGAGGGUUAGCUGACUUGAUCGAUGAAGGAGAUGGCAGCCGGGCUGUGGCAACUCAGCCUCGCUCAAAUACCAUCCGCAAUUCUCCACUUCCUCUUCAAGCUCCGGCAGUCG
RNAcentral lists this long non-coding RNA (252 nucleotides) under Lotus japonicus. RNAcentral's name for it is "long non-coding RNA (LJAP_LNC001891)". Lineage: Eukaryota; Viridiplantae; Streptophyta; Magnoliopsida; Fabales; Fabaceae. The record is from RNAcentral.